Molecule: ribosomal RNA, 356 nt
Filed under: uncultured bacterium
Lineage: Bacteria
Description: partial 16S ribosomal RNA
Rfam family: Bacterial small subunit ribosomal RNA
Source: RNAcentral
CCUACGGGGUGCAGCAGUGAGGAAUAUUGGACAAUGGACGCAAGUCUGAACCAGCCAUGCCGCGUGCAGGAAGACGGCUCUAUGAGUUGUAAACUGCUUUUGUACGAGGGUAAACGCAGAUACGCGUAGCUGUCUGAAAGUAGCGUACGAAUAAGGAUCGGCUAACUCCGUGCCAGCAGCCGCGGUAAUACGGAGGAUUCAAGCGUUAUCCGGAUUUAUGGGGGUUAAAGGGUGCGUAGGCGGUCGGAUAAGGUAGAGGGGAAAUCCCGAGGCUCAACUUCGGAAUUUCCUCUGUUACGGUUCGGCUAGAGCGUAGUUGCGGUAGGCGGAAUGUCUGGUGUAGCGGUGAAAUGCUU